AAUUUUUAUAAAGAAAAUUGAUUUUAGAUAUAUGCAACAAAAGUAUUGAUAGUAUAUUAGGAGUGUGUUUUACUUCUUAAGAUGAUUCUUACAAAAAAAAAAGAUUCUUUACUUAAAAUCAAUAGAAAGUGGACCAAGACAUAUUAAAUUAUAUUUUUGAAAUUUUUCGGCUUAUUAGAACAUAAAUAUUAUAAUACUGAUGUAAACUAAACAAUGCAUCUUAACAAUCUAGAUUUUUACUUUUAUUAUUAUGUUCCAUGGGCCGUCUAGCUUCUAUUGAAAUUUAUUGAUUUUAUUUUACAGUGUGAAGAAAAUUGUUAAUACUCAUAUUAACUGAUCCAACAAAAUGCACAGUCUCAAAGUUGUAUUUUAUAAGGAUAAAAUUCAGCUUGUAAGUUUUUUGGGGGUUUGUCAAAAUUCAUCAACCAUCUCAAUUAAUUGUAGAUUAUCAAGUUUAAGUCAAGCUUUGAAACAUUUAAAAUUUAAGAUAUAUUACUUUAUGAAAUGGCUUUCUGAAAAUUACUUUUUGAAAAACUUGUAGUAAAUUUAGUGUUGGAUUUGGUAUUAUUGAAAAUAGCAAUUUCAUAUCUAAUGAUUAUCUAUAAUAAAAGUGUUUCAAUGACAUUCAUAUAGAAGAAUACUAAAUCAACCCACAUAUGUCUGAAAUUGACCUACCUUCGUUCUUAUCAUAAUGGACCAUGUCAUAUAUUCCUCAUCAAUCCAAAGAAGAUCACCCUUAGAUUGUAAUAAAAUUACUUUCAGUGUUUAUUAAAUAAGUUUUGAAGCUAACUUUACAUCAAAGCAUUGGAGUUGUAAUAUUCUACCCCCAAAAUGAGUUGAAAUAUCCACAAAGCCCUCAACUAAUUGCCAACAUUUGUGAAUGAGGAAAACAAUUCCAAAGAUGCAAAAUUGAGGAAUCAUAUAUGAAUAUAUGACAUAAUACAAGAUGAUAAGAGCAAAGAGGGGUCAAUUUAAGAUUUAUUUGAGUUAAUUCAAUAUUACCCUUUCUAUAUAUACAUAUAUAUAAUUGGUGAAUUGUUUUUUGCAAUAAUAUAUAAUAUAUUAAUCGUAUUUAAAUAACUGAUUUUAUAUACAUUUCUUUUUUUAAUAUAAGUUGGAAAAAAAUCUUAAUUAUUUGUAUCUUGUUGAGUAACAUAGGUGUAUAAAUAUUGUUAUUGCAUGUUUAUUUUUUCUUUAGGUUUUUUAUAAAUGAUGAAAAAAAACUGAAGAUUUUGCAAUAAUAUUUUAGUUUUAGAAAAAUUAGAUUAACCUCUAAAUAUUUGUAAUUUUUUUUAAUUAAUUAGCUUAUAAAAAUCAUGAUAUUUUUGUUGUAUAUCUUGAAGGAGAUAAGGGUUUCUUUAUGACAUUUAUACAAUGCAACAUGCAAUAAAUGUUGCUUAUCACAUGCAUACAUGUUAUUGGGACUUUUUAUAAUUUGAAUGGUAAAAUCUUCCUUUAGUAUAAUUAUCCCUUUCUAUUAUUAUGUACAUCUCAAAAAGUUAUCUUUGACUUAUUUUAAAAAAUUAUAAGCAAUACAUAAUUUUAUUCUGAAUUUAUAUAUAUAUAUAUAUAUAUAUAUAUAUUGCAUGAAAUUUGAUGUUAACAACAUUAUUAGAGGAGCAUAAAUAAAUCUUUAUGUAAUAUGUAUAUAUUUGGAUUUCUCAAUGCAUCCUAUAUCACCUCAAUGCCAUUUUAAAAUACCACACAAUUGUUAUGUUUUUGAUUUGACUAAAUGUAAAACUAUGUGACUUUGAUGGGAGCAUAAUGGUCCACCAUGACUCAACUUAUCACAAUUUAAUUUAAAUUAAUUUAAUCUUUUUUUCAUUUUUUUCAUUUUUGAUAGGUUACAGCAAAGAUCUGCAUGAAAAUCUAGAAUAUUUUUGCAAACUUGCAAGUCAAGGUAGUGUUUAAAUUUAGUAACUCGUUGUGUAAACUGUGAUUUCUACCAAAAAAUAUAAACUCGUUGGCAAUGUGAUGAAUGUCUUUGGUAACAAAUGAAUAUUUAAAAGUUGGCCAUCAGCUUGUAAAUAUGAUUCAAUGAUAUUUGUGAAUUGAUCAGAUCAAUGUGUCUCAAUAAGCGCAUAACUUUACUUACACAAUAGCCACAAAUAAUAUAGAUUUGUUUUCAAGAACACUCUCAAAACAUUAUUGUUAUGAUUUAUGAUCUCAAAAAACAAGUAUGAAACAUUUUUUUAAAAGAAGAAGAAGAAGAAGAAGACUUUGGCUCUUUUUUAAAAUAAUAUUUAUGACAUUUAGUUGCACUAAUAAUGGUUGAUGGUAAGCUCUUAUGGUUGCUUGCACUACAACAUCAUAGUCCUUGCUCAUUUUUCCAUGUGGUUUCAAACUUG
This 2348-nucleotide long non-coding RNA is filed under the name Physcomitrium patens. RNAcentral describes it as "long non-coding RNA (PPAT_LNC005663)". The record is from RNAcentral. Lineage: Eukaryota; Viridiplantae; Streptophyta; Bryopsida; Funariales; Funariaceae.